This 253-nucleotide ribosomal RNA is filed under the name uncultured bacterium. RNAcentral describes it as "partial 16S ribosomal RNA". It matches the Rfam family "Bacterial small subunit ribosomal RNA", at positions 524 to 776 of the family's 1533-position model. RNAcentral also lists the same sequence under 1 other name. The record is from RNAcentral.
UACGUAGGGUCCAAGCGUUAUCCGGAAUCACUGGGCGUAAAGCGUGCGUAGGUGGCGCGUUAAGUGUGAUGUUAAAUCGCGGGGCUCAACCCUGUCGAUGCAUCGCAUACUGGCGUGCUAGAGGGAAGCAGAGGCAAGUGGAAUUGGUAGUGUAGCAGUGAAAUGCGUAGAUAUUACCAGGAACACCAAUGGCGAAGGCAGCUUGCUGGGCUUCUUCUGACACUGAGGUACGAAAGCGUGGGGAGCGAACAGG